RNAcentral lists this long non-coding RNA (1725 nucleotides) under Acyrthosiphon pisum (pea aphid). RNAcentral's name for it is "uncharacterized LOC115033791". Lineage: Eukaryota; Metazoa; Arthropoda; Insecta; Hemiptera; Aphididae. The record is from RNAcentral.
AAAUAAUUUAUAACCUAUCCACGGUCUUAGAAGAUAAGGUCCGACUACUCUACCUUAACAGUGUUCCACUUAAUUGUGCAAAUAUAUUUAAAAUGUUGCCGCUGUAAAAUUGAGCGCUGCCAGUUAUACGUAUUUUAUACGUAAAAAUCACAGGAAUCUGAAAAACUCCGGCAGGCGGCAGUUUCAAAAAGUUAUCGAGAAAAUGAGAUAUAGACCUUAAAGGUCCUUUACAUCUUUACUAAAGAUUAAAGAAAACGAUUAAAAUUACUCUUUGGUAUAAUGUUUUUUACUUUUUUAAUCAGUUUUAUAAAUACAUUAUUGUUAUGUUUUACAAAACUUUGCAAUUUUUUUUUUAUUUCUGUUUAUCUUAUUCUGUUUUUUGUUUUCUUGGAAGGCAAAUUGCCUCAUGCGCAUUCUUACAUAAUACAUAAUGGUAAAUGCUAUUAUCUGUUCACCGUGUAUUGCACAUGGAAAACUGACUGGUGUAACUUUCAUUAAAUCAUCUGUAAUAUGGUCCAAAACGUUUGCCGAUGUACAGUGUUUGCUAAAACUUUCUUCGACUUUUUUUAUAAAAUUAAAGAAGCAUAUGUUAGGGUGUAUUAAUCCACCUCUUGUUUUCAUGUUCACCAAAGUAGCAGGCAACUGCUGAGAAUAUAUAUCUGAUACAACAAAAGAAGAUUUACAGACAUCACAGUCUUUGGGAGUGGCCAAUACAAACAACUAACAAGCAUAAACAAUUAUACAUUUGUACCAAUACUUAUACAUACCAGUCAAAUAGUAUAUUAAACAGUCUACAACCUCAGCUUUUGCAUAAUCGUGUUCGACUACAUCGGAUGAUAAAUAUUCUUCAAAUCUGAUAUGGAAAUUAAUGGAGUUAAUGGAGAAUCAUCAUUUAUUGUGCAAUUUCCACUUUUGGGUGGUUUCAGUAUACUGUAAGUUGAUAAUAACUUGUACAGUUGUAGAAAUGUUGGCGCUGAUGGGUGAUCGUUGGAUCCCGCAGCUUGGCGAAUUAUUCCAAAAAACAUCUAGUUAAUAAAUAUUUGAAAUUCCAACAAGAAUUCAAGUAUUUGGAUAGAUCAAGUGUAGACUGGAUUGUCACUCUCAGACCACAAGCAGUACUGUCUGUUAGGAAUUCAGAUUUUUUUAUGUGGCCAUCAUCAUAUUGUUUUUGCCAAUCAUUCAUCCAAAUUAAAAAUGAUUGAAGAAACUGAAUGUUAAAAUCAGAAGUGCUGCAGCCCAUUAAAGAAGUAUUGUCAUCAAAACUAGUAGAAUAGUUAUGUUCUAGCAUAACUCUUGAACUCGACAUAAGAUCAUUAGGCAGAAGUUCAAUAUUAAUUGUUGGUUUACAAAUUAAUUCCUAAAAGUUAAUUGAAAAAAUUGUGUUAGAUAUUUUGGGUACAAUUUAAAUAACUAAAUAACUUAGAAAAAAUUAAGACUACAUUAAGUUAAUAUAUAGUGUAGAAAUUAUAAAAUUAUUUGAUGAACAAAUGGAAAUAUGUUCACAUGUUUAGUGUUUAAUAAAAUAGUAUAAUUUUUAAAAUAAUUAUAUUGUAUUUUCAUUUAUUGAUAAAUUAAUACUAAUUAUUAUAUUAUUAAAAAAUAAAAAUGUACUUCUUCAUCACCGCCACAUGUAAAAGUUGUUCUAUUAGUGGUAGAACUACUAGUGUCUAAUGCAUUGCAUGGUUGAAUUAAAUCUUCCACCUAUUAUUAAAAUUGGUAAAGAAU